ACGUAGGGGGCAAGCGUUAUCCGGAAUUAUUGGGCGUAAAGAGUGCGUAGGUGGUUUUUUAAGCGUGAGGUGAAAGGCAAUAGCUUAACUAUUGUAAGCCUUGCGAACUGGAAGACUUGAGUGCAGGAGAGGAAAGUGGAAUUCCUAGUGGAGGUGUGGUAGGCGUAGAGAGGAGAAGGAGCACCGGAGGCGAGGGGGACUUACUGGAUUGUAAAUCCUAGUGAGCCAACUGACUGUCGACCACAUACAG
This 250-nucleotide ribosomal RNA is filed under the name uncultured prokaryote. RNAcentral's name for it is "partial 16S rRNA". It matches the Rfam family "Bacterial small subunit ribosomal RNA", at positions 525 to 775 of the family's 1533-position model. The record is from RNAcentral.